CAAGAAUGAACAUACAACAUUAAAUAAAAAAACAGAAAAUAUAUAAGCGAAUAAAUCCAAAUUUACAACAGAAAUCUAAUAAAAUACUUAAGUGGAAACAAAGUAAAAUAAAAAGAAAAAUUUACAAAAUAAGUAAAAAUAGAAAAGGAGACAAUAUGUAACACACAUGAAUCCAUAGGGAUCAAUAUUGAAAUAAUCCCUGAUCAUGAAACAUUGUGUUGAAAUAUGGACUAAAACAUAAAAGUAUUCCAGAUUUUAGGGAUAAUUUAAAAGAAAAUAAAGUAAAUUAAAUGAAAAUGGGAGCAAAUUGCGCUGCAAUACAAGUACAAGGGACCUGCUGCGCAAAUAAACCAAUUUAGGCGCAAAGGCACCAAUUCGGAGCCCCAGGCGGGUUAACGCGCGGACCUUGGCUCCUUCCCCUGUGCGGCGUCGUUUUAAUUGGCUACUACACUUCCCCUUUUAAUUGUUUUGCCUUCCAAAACACAGCAAACUUUUUAGCCCAAAAAAAAUAUGCUAUCAGCCCCUUUUUCUUAGGUUUCGCAUAACACAUUGCUACCGCCAUCAAGCCCUCAAGCAAUGAAGUCGAUUUAGCCUCGAACUUCUUUCUCUAACUCCGAUUUCAACGAAGCAAAGAAAGAUUCAUGGCAACUUUACAAAGUAAGAUUCCUUCUUUCACUCUUCUUUAUAUUUUGAAAUAUAAUGCUAAAAUAUUGAAAAAGAAAAUGCAAUGAUUCUAAAAAAAGAAAUUUAAAGCGAGUAAAAAAACUGGAAAUCACCUUUCUAUUCUUGCUUUCGAAAUAUUCAAUGUGCUAAUGUAAGUGUAUAUUCUGUGGAUGGGUCUGUGUAAUCCUUUUGCAGGUACAGAAUGAGGCUUUUAUAGCCUGGAUUUACAGAGAAAAUAGUAAAAAGAAAAAAAUAUUUUUCUUGCUGUCAUCUGCCCAUUUCUGUUAUUCCUUUCUUUCUAGUGUAUUCUCUUUGCAGGAACGGUUGUACGGAGGAGCGACCCUGGUGACGUGGAGACCAAUUGUCAAAAAUUUUUUUACACGAGACUGACCUUUCGGUGACCUUCUGGUUUACUCCAGAAGCUUCCAGCAUCCUCAAGAUACUGAUGCAAUUUUUCUUGCAUAUUGGGCCUCGAUUUUGGGCCGAAUUUAAGAUGUGAAUUGAUUUCAUUGGGCUUUAGAAUUUGGGCCAAAUAUUAUGUAAUUAGGGCUAAAGAACUUUGGGGUAUUUGGUUAAGAAAUGGGCUUAUUGUAAUUGGGUUUUAAUUUUUAUGUAAAGGGUUUUGGGGUAUUUAUUUAAUUGGGUUGGAUAUUUAUAAAUGGACUCUUUGGACUUAUUUAUUUUUGGAUUUUUAUUUUGGGUCUAUCUAUAUACAAAUGAGCCAGGACAAAAAUGGGCCAUUACAUUAUAUAUGUUGUUUUAUUAUGCUUAAAUAUAAUUUAUGAUUUUUUGAUUUGUUUUAUUUUUGGAUCUUAGUAACUAGUGUGGCAUUUUAUAUUCAAUUUUCGUUCAAGUCGAGUGUAGGAUAUUAUCACAUUCAUAGGCCUCGAGAUAUACCUCCAAGAAAAAUAUGUUAUUAAAAAUUAACUUUCCCAAAAUCAUAUUUUAAUAAAUAAUAAUGAAAUAUCUAAUAACAUUGUAAGAAAAAAACACUUAGACAUGUUUUUUUUUUCAUUUUAUACUUCAUUAAGAAAAUACAUAUUCUAUAAAAUAUUAAUUUAAUUAGUAUCUCUACAUAGUAAUUAAUAGUUCUUAAAGAUAUAGUAAUUAAUAUUUUGACAUACAUUUAUUAUAUAUAUAAUAAGUAAAUAAAAUUUUAAUUAAAAUAGUAAAUUUAAAAUUUAAAUAUUAUGAUGUUUUCUGUAAAAAAAAAUUAUAAUAUUUUAAAUUUAAAUUUUAUUAUUGUUUCUCUAUAUUUAAAUAUAAAAAUAUUAUUACAAUAAUAUAAUUUUAUAAUUAAAUUAAUAUUUAAUUAAUUCUUCACAGCAACUCAAUUAAAUAUUUUAACUUGGUAUAUAGAGGGAGAGAUAGAGAGAGAAAGAGAGAGAUCCAAAGUUAUGUGGGAAUUGCAUGAAUGUGGUCCUUCAUGUGCCUCGAAUUGCUAAACACCCCAUCUCAACCACCACCAAUUUAGGACCACAGUCAAUACAAUAGCCUACAGCCAGUCCAAUUCCACCUUCCACCAAAACCCUCCACCUGUUAUUUUUAUUUAUUUAUUUUAAAUAUUACUAUUUGUUAAUAUCCCCUAAUUAUUUUAUUAAUAUAAAUAUAUAUUUUAAAGAAUAUGAAAAUAUUUAAAUGCGAUUGAGCCUUAAUUCAGUUGAUAUUAAUAUUAUUAUUAGAGCAAGAGUACGUUAAUUUGAAUGUAUUAAAAUACGUUUAUUUUCCUAUUUAAGAGUAAAAAAAAAGGUUAUGAAUAGUUUUAAAUAUUACAUCAAAAAAAAUAUUCACCUUAAAUUACAUGUAUUUAGAUCAGUGAAUUAGAUGAUUUGAAUCAGUGGAUUUGAGUUAUUUUAGGUUCGGACUAAUUUUAAGUUUAACUCAUUUAAAUUUGUAAAUUAAAUUUCUUGAAAAAGGUGAUGUUGUUAAUUUGUAAUUAUGAAUUUUAGUUUUUCUGAAUUUUUUUAUUCUUUUUUAGUUAUUUUUUUAGUAAAUUAUUUUUAAAUUCAAAUUAUUAAUUUGGACCAAAAUUUGUAAUUCGGAUAAAAUAUGAUAUUUUAUUACAAAUUGCCGCAUUUUCAAACUUAUCAUAUUAAAAUUAGUUUGAAGCUUAUCAGGUUUCCAGAAAUUGAGGUAUUUUUUUAAUAAUAUUAUUUAAUUGCGAGUGAGAAUAGAGCACCUCUUUGAUUUGUGCAUGACGUGUUAAAUCAAUCCUUUAAUUACCCAAUGUCUGUACUGUUGCUUUUGCUUCAAAGUAACCAAAUAUAGAAACGUAGGUAUUCUUAGUUUUUCUUUUCUCCAAGUUAAAGAGUCUACCGAAUAUGACAAAUAUGAAUCAAGAUUUUUGGAGUUAUGUUUAGUGAAUUAUAAGAUAUAUAUAUAUAUUAUUUAAUCAUUCAAUUUAACACUCCAAAUAAAAUUAAGUCCUAAGGCCUGUGAAGUUUGGGUGAAUCUUGGUUGCUACAAGCCUUUUUUGUCCUAUUAGUAUUUUCUGAUAAAUUAAAAAAUUAAGUAUAAAAUAUAAGAUUUUAAUUUAUUUAUGUGGUUGAAUUUGAUAAAUUGAAAAUUUAAGUACAAAAUAUAAGAUUUUAACUUAAUUACGUGGAUUCAAUUAAAUUCAAAAUAAUGUGAUCUAAUUUAAAGAGAUAAGAGUUUUACAAUUUGGUUACUUGAUGGACAUAUCGAAUUCAAAAUAAAGAUUAUAUCCUCUAUCACGUAGGGUUUGUGUAAUGAAAAGAAAAUGUUAAGAAGGGAAAAUCAAUUAAUCGGAUUCUUCGCCAAGUCUAAUAGCCAAUCCCAAUUCCGCAUAAAAUAUUUUUUUUGUUUGUGAAAACCAUAUUAUUCUAAAAAUACUAAAUUUGUUGUUUAUGCAGUAGAAAUUUGAUUUACAUAAUAAUUAUAUCUUAAGAUUUUACACAUAAUUUCUUAGAUAAAAAUUAAAUAUAAUAAUUUCAAUAUUUUAUUUGAUUAAAAGCGUCAAUGAGAAUUUAUUUUGAGGAUAGUUUUUUUAGUAACUAUUUGUCUAUUUAUUCUAUUCACAUUUUUUAUUAAAAAAUUUCAAUUAAUUAAUUUUCAGAUAUAUUUAAAAAAUUAAAUGUUAAAUUUUUUAAUGGAUUGUAAACCUCACCCUUAAUAUUAACUAAAUAUUAAUUGCUUCUAUGAUUACAGGUUGAUAAAUAAGAGUGGCAUAUAGUUGCACCGAAAACUCCUAAAUUUCUUUGAUGUUAACAUGAUAAUGAAAUAUGAUAACUCUUAGAUUGCUAUCAACUAUAAUUUUUUCAUAUUAGUAGAAUUAAAGUAAUGUGUACAUUAGUUAGAGUUUUUCUUUUCAUUAUGACUUCAUUUUUAAUUUUAUGAAAUGUGGGUUUGAAAAUGGAAUUGAUGUAGGGUCGAUGGGUUCCAAAGGAGGUCUUUCUCUAGGUUGGUAAGGGAGUUUUUUGGUUCAACUUAAAAGUUUUUCCUUUUUCCACAUUGAUGUUGAGGUUCAUGACCAGGAUUGUGAUGCUGUGUGGCGCUUUACAGGAUUUUAUGGGAAUCCCAAGGAAAGGAGUCGUAAUGAAUCGUGGGAUCUGCUUAGAAGAUUUGGAAGGAGCAAACAAUUCCUUAGGUUGUCUUGGGUGACUUUAAUGAAAUUGCGCAGUCUUUCGAAAAAAAGGGUGGUCGUCUAAGAGCUGAACGUCAAAUGAAUGCUUUUAGAACGGUGUUGGAAGAGUGCGAGCUCAAUGAUCUUGGGUACAUUGGUCAUUAGUUUACAUGGGAGCGUGGAAGACUUUCCUCAACUAAUAUUCGAGAGAGACUAGAGUUGCGACUUUGAACUGGGUUAAUCUUUAUCCUAGUUGUCAAUUAGAGCAUCUAAAUCAUUCAUUCUCUGAUCACUAUCCCAUUCUUUUGGAUACAGUGGGAAAGCAAAGGAAUCCUUCAUGUUAUAAAAAGAAUUUCUUCCGUUUUGAGGCUAAAUGGUGUCUGGAUGGUUCUUUUGAGGAUGUUUUACAUAGAUAUUGGAAUGGUUUUUCAGGUAAUGUUCCAGGAAAACUUGAAAAUCUAGGCCAGCAGCUUCAAAGGUGGAGUAAUUCCAAAGAUAGAGAUAUUAAAGAAAACCGAAGGAAAUAUGAUGAGAGGCUCAACUUUCUUUAUAAUCAAGACCCAUCAGAUGAUAUCUUGGCUAAAAUCACUGAUAUUUAUCUGGGACUGAAUUUAGAGGCUGAUCAGGAAGAGCUCUAUUGGGAACAACGUACUCGGAUCAAUUGGCUGAAGAAUAGUGACAGAAAUACCAACUUUUUUCAUACUAUUGCUGUCCAACGUAAUUUACGGGGUAAAAUCAAAGAGCUAGAGGGGGUGAAUGGUGAGAAAAUAUAUACAAAUGAGGAUAUGUUGAAGGUUGCCUCAGAUUUUUUUGUUCAGCUAUUUUCGGCUUCAGAAUCGGGUGUUGACGAGCGCGUUUUUGGGUUAGUGGAGAAGAGGGUUACUGAUGAUAUGAAUGCGUCUCUUCUUAAAUAGUUUAUGGAGGAGGACAUUACCAAUACUGUUAAAUCAAUGGCACCGCUGAAAGCUCCUGGUUUCAAUGGUUUUCCGGCAAUCUUCUUUCAAAGGUACUGGCACAUUCUUGGAGCUGAUAUUUCUAAAUAUUGUUUAGAUGUCUUAAAUGGUAAUUCUGAUCUAGGUGAUAUUAACAAAACAUGCAUUGUUUUAAUCCCUAAAAUUGACAGACCAAAAAAUCUUUCACAUUUAGGCCCAUUAGUCUUUGUAAUGUAAUCUAUAAGAUUAUCGUGAAAGUCUUGGUAUUUCGCAUGAGCUUUAUUUUGGGUUGUUGUAUCAAUGAAGCCCAAGGGGCUUUUAUCCCUGGAGGACUUAUUUCGAAUAAUGUGAUAGUUGCUUAUGAGGUCCUCCAUUCUUUGAAGAUGAAGAAAAAAUGAAAAAAUGGGAAUUUUGCGCUUAAACUCAAUAUGAGUAAAGCAUAUGAUCGGGUGGAAUGGGAUUUUUUGGCCGGUAUGAUGACUUAUUUGAGUUUUCAUGAGAAUUGGAUUAUUCUUAUCAUGAGUUGUGUCUGUUCUGUUUCUUGUUUGGUGAGUAUUAAUGGUUUGAAUGAAGAGUGGUUCUCACUGUCUAGAGGGUUAAGGCAGGGCGAUCCUCUUAGCCCUUACCUUUUUCUUAUAUGUGCAGAAGGGUUUUCUACUCUAAUUACGGAAGCUAAGCAAAAAGGUCUAAUGAAGGGAGCUGCUAUUGGACAAGAAAGAUUUGCUGUCAAUCACUUAUUCUUUGCGGAUGACUGCAUCUUGUUUGGUGAUGCUUCUAUCGAGGGAGCUACUGUGGUUAGAGCGAUUAUUAAUGAGUAUGAGGAGAUAUCAGGUCAGAGAGUGAAUUUUGAAAAGACUUUUAAUUUAUUUCGGGGCUAAUGUUGAUGCCAACACUAAGGUUUCCAUUACUAAUACCUUAGGUGUAAGGGUUGCCUCGAAUCCUGAAAAAUAUUUAAGCUAACCCAUGAUGGUUGGUAGGAAGAAGAAUUGGGCUUUUACUAAUUUUAUAGAUCAAUUUAAGAGAUGUAUUGCGGGCUAGAGUUUACGCUAUUUAUCAAUGGGAGGCAAGGAGGUUUUCGUGAAAUCCGUUUUGCAGUCAAUCCCGAUUUAUGUUAUGCAAUGUUUCGCUUUGCCGAAAAUUUUAUGCCGUAAACUCGAAGGCAUUAUGAAUAAAUUCUAAUGGUCUAAUAAUAAGACAGCUAAAGGUAUUCAUUGGAGUAAUUGGGAUGCAUUGUGUAAACCGAAAAGUGUGGAUGGGCUGGGUUUCAAAAAUCUGUUUUUGUUUAAUAAAGCACUAUUAGCAAAGCAGGUUUGGCGCAUUUUAUCCCAGCCCACUAGUCUUUUAGCCAAAGCUCUUAAAGCUCGUUAUUACCCUAAAUCUGAUAUCUUAUCAACCAAGGUAGGUUCUUACCCCUCUUUUACCUUAAGGAGCAUCUGCAGUGCUCGAGACUUAAUUGCUGACGGUAUGCUGUGGCGAAUUUGUAAUGGAUCUUGUGUUAAUAUUUGGAAUGACCCGUGGAUUCCUAGCAGUGAGAAAAACCGAGUAUCAGUUCAAAAAAUUUCUUCGCAUUGGACGACUGUUAACCAUCUGAUUGGAGAGGAUACUAAUACCUGGAAUAAGGAUCUGAUUCGUAGUAUCGUUGAUGAUGAGCAGGUAAAUUGUAUUCUAUCCAUACCACUCUCUGCCUCUAGGUCGGAGGAUAUCUUGGUGUGGAAGCAUGAGGGUUUUAGGGACUACUCGGUCAGAAGCGGGUAUCAAGUCCUAGUUACUGAUUAUCUGCAAAAUCAUAUUUACAUCAAGCCUAAUCUUGAGACUUACAAGGAAUUUUACAAAUUUCUAUGGUCUUUGCACAUUCCCGCAAAAAUUAAAAUAUAUUUAUGGAUGCAUUUUAACAAUUUUCUAUCACACUUUAGUAACUUGGCAGUCAGAUCCUUGUGGGUUGAUUUAUUUUGUCCCCUUUGUAAGAAGGGACCAGAGGACACGGAUCAUCUUUUGUGGUCCUCUGAAGUUCUUCAGUCAGCAUGGGCAUCCCUCCAAAUUCGAACUGUUCUUUCUAAUCGCAAAUUGAGCUACAAAGAUCUUUUUGUUAAUGCAUUUUGUUUAGCAGAUGAACAAAGCAAAUAGUUUAUUGCUAUUUCUUUAUGGGCUUUGUGGUUUAGAAGAAAUAAGCUUGUUCAUGAAGGUAACAAAUUCUCUUUGCAGGAGCUUUUAGGUUUCAUUUGUGGUUAUAGACAAGAGCUAGUCCAGUGUCAAGAAAAGUUGGGAGUUAUUUCUAUGCCAACAUCAGAAACAUUUUGGUAUCCUCCAGGUCUAGGUGUUAUCAAAGUUAAUUUUGAUGCAUCUUUUCAGAGUGACUCAAGAACAUCUAUUUCAACAGUGAUAGGCAGAAACCAUAGAAGCUGAGACUUAUCUGUUCACUAAUGUGGCUUAUACGUUUAUGGCAGAAGCAAGGGCGUGCGAACGAACGGUGCUUCUUGUGAUCAAUAUGGGUUUCCGUCAGGUGUUGGUGGAGGGAGAUUCCUUGAUUGUUAUAAAAAAACUCAAAUCAAAAGAAGAAGAAAGAUCUCUCAUUAGACCUAUUAUUCAGCAGAUUCGUAAGUUAGAAAACUGUUUCGACAAAAUUGAUUACCUUUUUGUUCCUUGCUUGGUUAAUGGUGUGGCACACUCUGGCAAUGAAAGGACGGAUAAGACAACACUCUGGGUUCUAGGUGGAUGACGUUCCGAAUUCAGUCAAAAUGUUGGUGGAGAAAGAUCAAAGACUAUUGGAACAGGGAUUUUGAAGAUGGGUUUUUCGCUUUGAAUAUAGAGAAGGUUCUUUGAAUCUCCAUGGUUGGUCUCAAAGCUGCUGGUUUCUUGCUGCAUUCUUUAUUUUCUCUCUAUUUUUUGGGGAUGAGGAAGCUGGUUCGGCUGAUAGUUUUUGGUGGGUUAUCUAUUUCAUCCCUUAGCUUAAGGGGUUUUGUUGAUUUUCUUUAAUGGUUUUGUUUUUCUAGGGGCGGUUCUUUGACUGUUUGGGCUACUAUCAUGUGGUUUUACUAGCUUUCCUAGUUGUUUUCCUUUAUUUUUUCUUUACUUUUCCAGUUGUAUUUUUAGUCUCCUUGAGCCACGAGAUGAAUAAAUAUCAGUCUUUUAUUUCAAAAAAAAAAUUAAUCCUAGACCUUUUAAAAAUAGUGAAAUUGUUAUUUUUAAAUGUAAAUAACGACUAAAACAUUAAAUUUUUAAAUAUGACAUCUCACAUGGUAGUUCAUUUGUACUUUUUCUAAAAAAAUUUAACAACUUUUUUUAUAUAUAUUUUUAUUUUAAAAAACUUAUUUUGUGAUUAUUUGUAUAAUUUAAAAUUACUUGUUGGCGUGACAUUUAAGAUAAAUAAUAUCAUAUCAGCAUAAAGUAUACGUGGAUUGUCACGCGAAUUGUCACAUCAAUAUUGUUAAAAAAAUAAUAUUUUUGUAAUGAUCCAAAAAUUAAUGGUAACAGAAAGUGUGGUUUCGGUACCCUAUUUUCGUAAACUGGUAUUUUGGGGGCGAAAUGAAUUUCGGUUAAAAAAUUCUAUCAAAUUAGUGUUUAAUUUAAGUAUAGGGACUAAAUCGUGUAUGUGAUAAAAGUGUGAAUUUGUAAGUUAAAACAUAGUUAAGGGAUUUUUUAGGAAAUUAAACUGAUGUUAAUCCUUAAUGGAUGAUAACAAGGCUUUAUAAUGUUAAAAUUUGUGAUAAAAAAUAUAUAAAAAAAAAGUAAAGUAAAGUUUUGUAACAUGAAAACAUUAGUGGAUUGAAAGAAAAAAACAAUUAUUCUCUUUUCAAUCUUCAAUAUUUCGAACAUAAGGAGGGGAGAAGAAGACCAACAGCAAGGGUUUAUAAGUUUCAGAGCUUCAAUUUGGUAUGAUCAAUUUAGUCUUUAUAUUGUAAUUUUUAUGUUUUUAGAAUUUUAGUAUCUAGAGCUAGUUAACCCAUGUCUUAUUUUUUGAUACUGCUUAAGAUUUUAGAUGAUACCAUUGUUGAGUAGUUAAAACUUUAGAGACUAGUUGGAUAGAUUUUUAGGUUAGAAGUGAAAAAGGAUUGAAUUGUGAAGUAAUUGUUGAUUUUGAGUAAUAAGGACCAAAUUGUGACCACAAUUUAAGGGUAGAAAUGAGAAAUAGGGAGUUAAUUUGGCUUAGGGUGUAAUUGGUAUAAAAAUUUAGGGUUAAAUGUAGAAGUUAGGCUAGUCUUGAUUUUUGGGACUAAAUUAAAUAAAGUGCAAAAGUUAUGUAAAUUAGCAAUUAAAUGUGAAAUUGUUUGUGUACUGAUGAUAUGUAUGGUUUAUUUAUUUUUCAUAGCUAAUGUUGACCUAGAAUCCUCAAAAAAGAAGGGAAAAGACAAGGUCGUUAACGAAUAGCUCGGAGUUUACGAUUUGUGUUUCAAAAAUCUUAACUAAAUUAUAAAUUACUGCAUACUGAUUUGUUUGCACAUGGUAAGUAAUUGAGGUGAGAAUUCUUGUUCAAUUGGUCUUAUUUGAAUCAUUUGAUGAUUAGAAUGACUCGAUUAUGUAUAUUUGAGAAAUAUAUGUAUUCAUAAAAUUGUAUGAAUUGAAUAUAAAUUUUGAGUAAUUGUGGUUGAGUUCAAGUUGAAUAAAGACACACAUGUCGAUAAUAUAUAUGAAAUUGAGAUAUUGACUGUAUUGAAAUAUGAAAUGAAAAACCUUUUAACUAUUUUGGUUGAGUCGGAUAUAGUUGACAUGCCAUAGAAUAGGAAGUGUUCAAGGUUACUUUGACUAUGAGUUGAUUAGGCACUGGGUGUCAAUUUGCUUCAGUUUAACCGAUGAGACACUAGGUGUCAACUUAUUAUAGAGCUAGGUGCAAUUAUUUUCUUCGAAUUUAUUCGAUGAGGCAUUGGGUGUCAAACUGGUGUGUUGGUUGGAUCCGUGUAUCUGUUUAAGUUUAAGUUUUGUUGAUAGGGAUAUAAAGGAUAAAAAGAUCUGAAUGAUUUGAUAUUGUUAAGGGAUUAUGAAAAGGAAAAGAAAUAAGUUAUGAAAUGAAAGUGUGAUACAUAAACUAAAAUGAGAAUAGUGAUAUGUUAUGUUCCAUAAGUUUUGAAUUUAGACUUUGAUAUGAAAAUGGUUUUAUAUGCAUUUUAAUAAUAGACUUGAUAAUCUUACAUGUCAUUUUUAUUCCAUAAUCUUAUAUCUUAAUGAUUAUAUAUUAUACCUAAUGUUUGGAUUAUAGAAAUACAACUAAGAUAUGUUUAGCGUAUGUUUUGUGUUCUGUGCGUAGGUUAGGUACAUUUCAGUUUGUUGUUGACUCAGCAUCCAACAAUGAUCCCGGUUUCAAGUGUGGUGGUGCUUCUAUUUUUGUUAUGGCAUGUACCUAGGAGGUUUUUUGUAGUGCCCCAAUUUUUGCUUAUGUAUUUUGUUUUGGUAAAUUGUUUCAAGUAAGGUGAUUUGUCUUAGCGAGUGUCUGCUUCAGUAUGAAGGUUGGGGUUGGAGUUACUGGUUCGAGUCCCUGAGAGAGCAUUUUGGGUAUUUUUGUUUUGUACAAAUCAAAUAGAGGAGGUUCAGUUAAAAUGUAACUCUUGGAAGGGUAUAGAUAUGGAUGAGAUUUGGGGGUUAGUGGGUAGUUGAGUUUGGUUUAAAUUUGAAUUAGUGGCUAAAUUAUAGGGGUUGAAGGGAUAUAGGGUUAGUUAAUUUUUAUUUUGAUUUAUUUUUAUUUUUUUUCUUUUUCCCUAAAUUCCCUUCCCAAUUUGCACGUUCCUCUUCUCCUUUCCAUUUUAUUCUUUCUCCAUCUUUCCUUCGUUUUUCUUUUUCACUUGAUUUCUUAACCAAAAUUGCUCCACGUGAACCAACACUUGUUUUUACAACCUUGUUUCUUUGCCUUUUGUUACUUUGUUUUAUCGAUACUUGGUGCUUGGGUAUUGCGCUUUUGUGGGUAAGACUUGAUUCUAUUAUAUUUUGGGAACAGAAAUUCUCUAAGUGUUCAUAAGUAAAAGUUACUGUUGUUUUGGUAGGAGUUUCUGUUAAAUGUUGUUACUAGGUUUAAAGUGUAAGUUGGCUCUGUGUAUUAUUGUUGCUAGGUGAUAUUCAAGAAAUCUGGGAUUCUCCUAUUAUGAAUUAGUUGUUUAGGGCAGCCGUAGACGUGGGUAAGUGUUUGAAAUAGUUACGACUACAACCCUUUUUGUUGAAAUUACUUAUGGAUGCUUUAGUUAAAUGGUUACUAGAUGAAAAUUGAUGGAUUGAGACUGAUUUUGGGCAUGUUGUUGUCGAUUUUUAGGUUUUGUUUACUCCGAUGGUGCAAUUGUAAAAAAAUCAAAUCAGGUGUGUAACAAGAAACCCAAUAAACAACGAACGACGAAGGCCGAAAUUGGGGCAUGUUGACGCCACACGAGCUGUAACACCCUAAAACCUGGCCUAGAAGUUUAGACCGAAUCUUGAAGGUUACAUUGAUCACCAAAGUGAUCGUAGGAAAAUUUUAUAAAGCAAAUUAUCUCAAAUUCCAUUUCAAACAUAUUUAUCUCCUUACGAACCAAGAACAUUUAAUCUUGUAGAUCUCAAUCAGAAAAAAAUUAAAGUGAAGUUUAAUUUAUGAACAAAGUAAGAUUUACGAGAAAAAAAUAGAAACAAAACUUGUACCACAGUUUCUAUAAAACUUUACAGUUCAAAACAGUAUAUCAAAAUAGAAACUAAAAAGAAAAACUGUUAAUUUAUUUUUAAUCGCGACUGUUUUAGACCUCCACAUAUCGAGUCUAGCGUCAGAAUUUAGAAAUGUACCUGAAAGGGGAAACACUAAAUGGUGUGAGCUACACGAGCUCAGUGUGAGUUCAAAAUGAUUAACUACAUAUUUACAGAAGAGUACUCUAGAUGGCAGUUCAACAGUAAAACAUAAUUACAAAGAUAUGCAGAAACAGAAAGCAAACUCAGAACCAACGUCCCAACAUACGUAACAGUCAAAGCACACCAACUCACAUACAGAAUACUCAACACAAGUGUUACUCAAUUAGACAGAAUAUAGUCAAAUAAUCUUACACCUAGAACACCCGUGUGGAUGAGGCACACGCCCGUGUGGGCCAGGGACAUGGCAGUAUGAACAGGUCGUAUAACUCUUUGUCUGUUUGUGUUAAAAUGAAGUGCAGGGCAGACAUGGUCGUAUGAGGGUCUCACACGCUCGUGUUCCCACCACACACGACCGUGUGUCCAAAACACAGACUCGUGUGGCACCAAAUCACUAAAUCCCUAAUUCUCAUACACACAUACCCGUGUGCCCAGAGGACAUAGCCGUGUGGAAAUCGAAAAAAAUACCCAAAUUAGUCACAAGGUCAUGUGGAACCAAAAUUUUACCCACAACCCUAAUUUCUAAUUGUAUGCAACCGUGUGAACCACCCGUGUGGUCACGAAACCACACCAUAACUGGCCAAAAUCUCAGUUUUGCGAUCUUAGAACAAACCCCAGUCGUUAACCACUUCUUAAAUAAUAGAAUCUUAUAAAAAUCCUCUAGAUUCAACAACAAUUUCAUAUCGAAAAUAAGCAGUUCAGAACACACACACAAUGCCAAAUUUCAUAGCAAUUUGGUACCAAUUACCCAAUUUAGUACACACUCAAAAUUAUCAAAUACCAUAUAAUUGAAUUAACAAAUAAAAAAAUAGAAGAUAAGAGGUUCGAAACCCACAUCUUAAUUUGAGAUAAAAACCCCCUACAAUUAAUGAACCACAAAGCCUUCACUCGCUGCGCAAUCAUAUCUCUCGCAAGAACCUGAAACCAAAUUAAAACGACGAAACCACAAUGAAGAAAGAGAAAGAAUUUAGUGAAAAAAAAAGGAAAGAGGAGAAAAGAGGCACGUACCCAUAAACAUUAGGAAACCCCAAAAAGAACGUGAAAAGAAAACUCCCGUUUUCUUUUUUUUUCCCUUUUUUUUCCAUAUCACAAAAUAAAAACUUCAAAAAUAAAAAUAAGCAAAACAAAUAAAAAUAAAAUCUAACAUUUUAAAACCAGAACAAAGCUAAAUCAAAAUAAUUCCCUCAAAACACACUUGAGGACUCGAACCCGGGACCUCCAGGCUAAACUGACACACAACCAACCACCAGACCAGUAAGCCCAUCUAACACUUGAACGUGAAAACAAACUCAAAUACCAGAUCUAGCCACUGACCCUACCUACAAAUCCCGAAACUUCUAACCCAAAAAACCAGGGUGUUACAACUCACCCCUCAUUAAAAAAAAUUUCGUCCUCGAAAUUUCCAACUAAUAGAACAGUCGCUUAAUCUAGGGUCAACCACUAUGCUCCCCUGUACACUUUAAACUCGAGCAGUUCUGUACCAAACUUAAGACCUCAACACACAAUCAGAACACUUAACCACUGAAGCAGAUACACAUUUAUAUAUAUGACAUACAUAAACAUUACGAUUCAAAACAUUACAGAACUAGUCUUACUCUUUCUCCAAGUUUCGCAUGAAUCAGCAUCAGAGUCUCGGAAAGCUCAUUUUCACAAAAACUUACUCGACAACACCAAUCAUUUUAGAACACUGUGGUAUAGUUUCUCAAAUUUUUUUUAAAAAUGAACACAUGCACACAUGGUUAAGUAAAAACAUAGGCCAAGUUUUUGCAAACGUGGCUUCGAUACCAUUAAAUGUAACACCUUAAAACCCAGCCUAAAGUUUAGAUCAAAUCCUGGAGGUUACAUUGAUCACCAAAGUGAUCGUAGGAAAAUUUUAUAAAUUUAUUUUUUCUCAAAUUCCAUUUCGAACAUAUUUAUCUCCUUACAAACCAAGAACAUUUAAUCUUGUAGAUCUCAACCAAAAAAAUUUCAUUUAAGUUUAAUUUAUGAACAAAGUAAGAUUUAUGAGAAAAAAACAAAAACAUAACUUGUACUACAAUUUCUAUAAAAUCUUCCAGUUCAAAAUAGUAUAUCAAAAUGGAAAUUGAAAAGAAAAACUGUUAAUUUAUUUUUAACCGUGACUGUGCGAGACCUCCGCAUAUCGAGUCCAGUGCUAGAAUUUAGAAAUGUACCUCAAAGGGGAAAUAUUAAAGAGUGUGAGCUACACGAGCUCAAUGUGAGUUCAAAAUUAUUAACAACAUAUUUACAGAAGAGAACUUCAGAUGGCAGUUCAACAGUAAAACAUACUUACAAAGAUAUGCUAAAACAGAAAGCAAAUUCGGAACCAAUGUCCCAACACACAUAACAGUCAAAGCACACCAAGUCACACACAGAAUACUCAACACAAAUGUUAUUCAAUCAGACAGAAUACAAUCAAAUAAUCUUACGCCCAGAACACCAAAUUUGAUGCAUAUGAAUGCAGUCAAGUAUUAAAAACCCACCCAUCCAGCCAAAACACCUCUUCGUCCCCCAAUCACACCCCAAAGAGUUGUUUAAGCUCAUCCAACCAAACACACCACUAAAACCUCGAAAGGCACAUCCAACCCUACACACCAUGUAUAUGGUCUAGGCCACUCAGAUAAUUAUACGCAACAAGGCUGGCGUAUAAGCAGUACAGUGCGGUAACCCACUGUACAAAUAAGUUGCAGUAAAACUGCCAGAUCAGAUCAGAAUCAGUCUUCCUUCUCUUCACAACCAACCCAAAUAUUUACUUUAUGCAAGCGCAUGUAUGCAUACAAUCUCAUAGAAAUAAUGAACACAUCGAUAGACAGUCAGAUAGAAACAAAUAUGCACACAGACACAACUAACCGGGUUUAGAAUCAGUCAUCUCACACCACAGUCACAAAUAACACAUAAGUCGAAGCCUAGAUCAGAGUCUUAACUACCCUCACUAAAGCCUAGCCAAGAGUCGGAACACACAGACACAUUUUUAGAUAAAAAAAUAUACACAAAACAAAAGUUGACGACUUAGGACCACACCACUUGUGUUCUAGCCGUGUGGAAGGCACAUAGCUAUAUGGAUGAGGCACACGCCCAUGUGGGCCAGUGACAUGGUUGUGUGAACAAGUCGUGUAACUCUUUGUCUGUUUGUGCUAAAAUGAAUGGUAGGGUAGACAUGGCCGUGUGAGGGUCUCACAUGUCCGUGUGCCCACCAAACACGACCGUGUGUCCAAAACACACGCCCGUAUGGGAUCUCUAAAUCCUCAAAUUAGCCACACGACCAUGUGGCACCAAAUCACUAAAUCCUUAAUUCCCAAACACACGCGUCUGUUUGCUCAAGGGACACAGUCGUGUGGCACCAAAAUUUUGCCCGAAACCUUAAAUUCCAAUUGCACACGAUCGUGUAAAUCGCCCGUGUGGGGGCAUACGCCCGUGUGGUCACGAAACCACUCAAAACUGGUAGAAAUCUCAGUUUUGUGACCUCAGAACAAACCACAGUCGUUAACCACUCUUUAAACAAUAGAAUCUUAUAGAAAUCCUCCAGAUUCAACAAAAAUUUCAUGUCGAAAAUAAGCAGUUCAGAACACACACACAAAAUGCCGAAUUUCAUAGCAAUUCAGUACCAAUUAUCCAAUUUAGUACCCACUUGAAAUUAUCAAAUACCACAAAAUUGAAUUAUCAAAUCAAAAAUAGAAGAUAAGAGGUUCGAAACCCACACCUUAAUUUGAGAUAAAAAAUCCCCCAACAAUCAAUGAACCACAAAGCCUUCACUUGCUACGAAUUUAUAUCUCUCGCAAGAACCCGAAACCAAAUCAAAACGACAAAACCACAAUGGAAAAAGAGAAAGUAUUUAGUAAGAAUAGAGGGAGAAAGGAGAAAAGAGGCACUUACCCACAAAUAUUAGGAAACCCCCAAAGAGAACAUGAAAAGAAACCUCAUGUUUUCUUUUUUUUUUCAUAUCACAAAAUAAAAACUUAAAAAAAUAAAAAUAAGCAAAAAAAAUAAAAAUAAAAAUAAAACCUAACCUUUUAAAACCAGAACAAAGCUAAAUCAAAAUAAUUCCCUUAAAACACACUUGAGGAUUCGAACCUGGGACCCCCAGGCUAAAUUAACACAAAACCAACCACCAUACCAGCAAGGCCAUUCUGACACUUGAAUGCGAAAACAAACUCAAAUGCCUGAUCUAGCCACAACCCUACCUACAAAUCUCGAAACUUCUAACCCCAAAACUAGGGUGUUACACGGAUGUGUGCCAGGCAGUGUGGUAGGUCAUGUGCGAGGCCGUCUGUGACACACGGUCUAGGCUAUUUUGGGCCAUGUGCUAGGCCGUGUGGGCCACACGGGCAAGGAUAUUUUGGGCGUAUGGGCCCAAAUUUCUAAAUUUUUCCCUAGGGUCGUACGUGUUGUCCCUAUCAAUUGUUGGCCUUUCGUGGGAUCAGCAUGUGUUAGAUAAGCCUUAAAGCACGAAAUUUUCUAUUCUGUUAGUAUGAAAUUGACGUAAACUACGCCUAAAAGCAUGUAAUGUGGUGCGAUAUGUUAGAUCUGUUAUGUAUUAGCGUGUUCAAUAUCUGUUAUAUGAGCAUGCAUGAUAUAUGUAUAUAUUAUGGUAUUUUUUAUUCUGAUAUAUUUGGUAUUCUAUUUGUAUUUGGCUAUGGGGCGGAUUAUGUAUCAUGUGGAGGAAAUGUUUUAUGUGAGGCAUUAACUCGCUAUUAUAUUGGUAGUAGUGCUAUGAUUUUUUCUGAAAAGUGUCGUAAGGACACUAAGUGGUGUAUAAGGUUGGGUGGGUGUUUUAUACCCUACAUGGUGUGAUGGGAUGGUCAGAGAUGGUAUGCAAUGGAUAAGGGUAGGAUUGUGUUUCGCAUGUAACUCUGAUUCUGCAUGAGACAUUUAUCUGUAUCUGCUCUGUUAUAUAUUCCAUUUGUGAUUCUAUUUCUAUUAAGUUACACACUGAGUAUAAAAACUCACUUUCUGUUUGUCUGUUACUUUCAGGUAACCUUAAAACUUAGGCGGAUCAGUGCGACAGAGACUCAGAUAUGGCCACUUUCCUGUAAAACUUCAUUUACAUAAAUUUGGUUGAUUUAAAAUUAUGUUUUGAGAGUUUCGUAAUUUUUGGACUCUCUAGACUUUUGGGACUGUUUUUGGUUUCGGAUUUUUAUUUUGAUUUUUAGCAUGUCAAUUGAUGGAACGAUUUUUAUGAAAACAACUAUUUUUUUCUGAAAUCAACUAUUUUAUAGAAAAUAAACCCUAUUUACCAAAUAAUAAUGUUUUAAGAAACUCUGCCGAAAAAUAUUCGGUUUAUUUGAAAGAUAUAAACAAACAAUGAUUUUAAUUAAAUAAGUACGACAACACACUUUCCCAACAAAACAGGCUUACUAAGUAACAAUGGUUCACGAUGAUUUCAAAAAGUGAAAGUUAGAUUUACAACUAUUUCACGUAACAUUUCCAGAUUUGGCCAUAAUGUCUAGACUGAGUUUUGGGGGGUUACAUCUUUUGGUUAAUAGUUUGCUUAGGUAAUGUGAUGACAUAUUGAACAUUAAGUGUAUAAAUGUAUAUACUCAUAUAGCUAAUUUAAACUAUGUUUUGGUAUGCUUAGUUAAACUUAAUGAUUUACAUAUGUUUGGCUUUAUAUUUUGGUAACUUAGGUAGUUAGGUCAUUAACUCAAUAUGGAAAUUUGGUAUGUAUGAGUGGUUGAAUGGUUUGUUGCCUUAUAUUAAUUUUUUUGAAUUGUAAAUUUUCAGUUCCACAGAAGGCAUAGUGGUUAGACACUUAGGUUGAGUGUUUUUAGCAUGUUUCAGGCUCAAUUAUAUGUGUUUUUAAUAGGUUUAAUUAAUGGUUAAUGUGUUUCUUGUAGCCCAAUUAAAUGUGUUUUGGUAAGCUUGCAUUUGAAGGUUCAAUUAGGGGCACAUAGCCUGAGACAUAGGCUAUCACAUGACUGUGUGUCUUAUUGAUUUUUACUAUAGGUUUUUCCACAUGACCUGGCGACACAACCUUGUAACCUUACUUCGAAUAUACACACGAUUUGGCAAACAACCAUGUGCCCUUAAUUCGAAUACUAACACAGGCGAACAUAUAGGCUGGGAAACGGCAGUGUGACCCUUGUUUUAAAAUUUUCUCAACUUUUUUAUUUUAAAUCAAAUUGAUCAUUGUUGUGUCAGGAGUUGCUUUUAAGCUUUCAUAUAAUCAGUAUUUACCUAAAAUUGAUUUAGCUAAUGUAUUUAUGCAUGCACAAAUGUGAUUAUGUAAUAAUUAAUUGUGAUGUGGAUUAUAAAUUGGUUGAAAUUGUGUGGUAAUUAUUCGUAGCACCGUAUUGUUUGGUCCGAUGAUGAAAUCGGGCGAGGGAUGUUACAAUUUUAGUCAGCAUUUUCAUUAAAAAUAUUUUUUGACACUUUUAGAAAAGGUCAAUGGACAAAUUUAACUUUAAAAAAGAUUAAUGGCCAAAUUGACAAAAGAUGUAAAUGAUAAAGGCUAAAGUAUCUUUAUGAUGUUUUAAAUAUGUGUCAAGCUUUGAUUCAUAAUUUUAUCUAUUAGUUCAAUUUUCAAUUUUACAAAAAAAAAUAUUAAUUUUUAAGAUUUAAAUAGUUCAUUCAUUCAUUCCUCAAAAAGAGGUGGCCAACAAGCAGUAUGUUACACUUAGAACCUUGAGAGAGCCCGAAAGUAGAGAAGAGCCUUUCAAGUGCCAAGAAUGACCAUCCCCAAACAAAAGCAAUGAAGGUAGACUUACAUGCAAAUAAAGAAAAAUAAAAUAAAAUAAAAUAAAAUAGGAAACAAAACAAAACAAAACAGAAAAAUGAAAAAAAUAGUUGCAAAGGGGCAAUGACAUUGCCUAAUCAUCGAUUGUCCUUAGUCGCAACAACCAACUAUCCUCUUAUAGAAGGAGAUUUCCACGAUGAGACAAUAAUGAAAUUAGGCUGUCCUCGACAAAAACCCUACACCAAGAAAGAGAAAAUGAGCCAGCCAAGUCUCAUAAUAAAAGAGCCAGCUUAAGCCAUCUCAAAAUCAAACACUCAUCGUUUCCACCACUAAAUUUAUCCAAAUAAGCCACCGAAAUCACCAAACCAUCAUCGAGGAAUUAUCAUUUUUAAGAUGAGAAAAACAAGGGAAAAAAAGGAGAAGAGAUGGAAGGAGGACGAAGGAGGACGACCGGCCACCAAUGGUUAGUGGUUGGUUGUGUAACACCCCAUAUCCGACCCAAUUGUUGGGUCCAAACUAUGAGAUGCCACAUUCGUUACCGAAUCAACUACAAACUCAAUGCAAUUUAAUUCAAUAGUUCAUACCUAUUAAUAAGAUCAUAAUACGUUCAUAACUUGUUUUACAAUCAUAAUUGGGUUUUAUAUCUUUUGAUAACCCGAGGUCGAAUGAGAACUAAAAUAUAAAAUUUCAAAGUUUUUUGGUUGACGUCGCUACUUUGUUGGUUCCAAGUUAUGACGCCACUCACUAUCAAUUUCUUAUUGCAAAGUUAAGGAUUUGACAUUGCGACGUCACUCAUUGUUUUCAAACUUUCUAUAUGAUACCAAUUUACAACAACCUACACUAUGGUCAUUUUCCUAUUUCGACCAUUUAACAAAUAUAAACACUCAACAAAAUCCAAAUGCCAACAUUUAACCAUUCAACACAAUCUGUAUGUUUUCUAUUUGCAAUAAUAACAAGUAACCCUCCUUUAAUAGAGUUUUAAAACCAUACCAAAAAAUUUUAGGUACAAUGGUAAGGCACAUUAUGGUCUUAGGUAGUCAAUUUUAGUUCAAAUCUAGGAGACAACUCUAUUAGGAGGGACAACCAUAAACCUCGAAAAACUUAAACUCCAUAAAUUAAAAAAUAGACAUUAGUUCGAUGAACCCAACUACACCUUGCCCAAAGAUUAUCACAACAUUAGUGUUAUGGAUUAUUAGUAAUAAAUUAUUCAAAUGUAAUAGAAAGGUUCAUCAACGAAUUGUACUCAGGGUUUGAAUCCAUUAAUAAAUCAUUAGUAGAUUAAUUACAACUCAAUCAAUUUGAAAAUUAUUUUAGCUAUUAGUGAACUCUCUUAAGCAUUCUAAAUUAUUUUAUUGUAACACCCCAUACCUAGUUCUGUCACCAAACUCGAGCUAUAAGGUGCUACAAGCAAAUACAGAACAUUUGAUUACAUUUCAUAGUCCAAAUAUCAAUUUAAUAUCACUUUGUUCAUAUAGUAUCAAGUACAACAUGCAAUUCAAUCAAUUUUGGGUUUAUAUUGAGCUUACGAAAGCUUAAAACUUACCCGAUGUCAAUCAAGGAUCAAAUCGAAACAAGAACAAAAAGAUAAGAAAAUUUUACAAAUAGGGGUCAGACGACUGUGUCACCUGACCAUGUGAAAGGCUGAGGCCAUGUGGGUUAAAAGUGCAAAUACUCAAAAGAUGUCACACAUUGUGUCGUUGGGUCGUGUAAUAGACUGUGGCUGUGUGCACUAAAAUCACCUUAAAUGUGCAGAUCACACAGUCAUGCCACAUGCCUGUGUAUGGCACACGGUUGUGUGUCAGGUUGUGUAUCAGGUCAUGUCUACCUAUAGAUGUCUUCCAAAACAAGCUUUCUAACCCUAAAUAAUUUAUACCACAAGAAACAUUUUAUACCAAGUUUUAAGUACUAGUUCAAAAGCAUCAAUAUCAUACCAAAAAAUCACUUAUAACAAUCAACCUCAGUGCCUAACCAAUAUGCCACAUUUGACACCUCAAUCCAACAAUUCAAGUCCAAACAUAACAUUAUAUUCAAACAAAUCCACUAUGCCAUUCAAGGCACCUAAUAACAAUUAAUACAACAUACAUAAUUUGACCAUUUUAAGCACAUUAUAAUAAUGCUUCCAUUCAACCAUUCAAACAUGCACAAACAUUUCCAAAUUCAUUCAAACUUAGCAUACACAUACCAUUCAUUUGUUAGCAUGUUUAUAACAUAUUACCUUAUCAUCAUAUAAGCAUUAUAACAUACAUAUUUAUACCAUAAACAAGGAUUACCCAAUACCAAGAUCAUUACCAAUUUAUAAUUAUAUACAUAUUCACAUAACAUUCAAAAUGUUAAAUUCAUCCAACACAUAACAUAUUCAACCACAAAACUCUCCUAGGUACAUCCCAUGACCAAACCAAAAUUAUUACCAACUCUUGAGUCUGAUAUUGCCACUGGAUGCUGAAGUAGAUGUAUAGGAUCAUGUACUUAAUCUAACCUGUGCACAGAAACAACUGAACAUUGAGUAAUCCAUACAAUUACAUCACAAAUCAAUAUGAGAAAAAUUUAAGAGAACUUUCAAGGUUUUAUUAAAACAUAACAUUAUACCAAAUUUAUUAAUUAUAUCGUAAUGACUUACCAUACCCCAAUUUCAUACUAGUCUUUUGAAGUGAAGAAUUUACUCUUGAUGUUCAUUGAUACGACUGGCACCUAGUGACUCAUCAGACAAAUCAAAGUAAUCCAAUUGCGCCCAACGCUUAUCAAUUUAAUUGGCACCCAAUGCCUCAUUGGGUAAGCCAAAGCAUUACUUGUACAUUCACAGAGUAACAAAAUUUUCCAUAGAAUUUUCAAUUAUAUCCCAACAACCAAAAUUCAUAACUCAAUUCAACAAGUCAUCUCAUAACAUAACAUUUUUCAAUCCAAUACAAGGUCAAUUAAAUACUUGCAUCAAAUACACUUUUUUCAUCCUAUACAGUUUAGUCCUUCAUCAUGAGAAUCAACAUUUCACAACAACUUGAUUUCAUCAAUUAUUUUAACUUACUUUUACCUUUGAUCAUACUAAGCAAUGAAAGUACUUAGAAAUUUGAAUGAAUUAAUUUAUGAAGUUACAUAUACAUUUAACUAUGUAAUAUCAUUAUAUACAUAUCUAUUUCAUAAUCAAGUUCAAUAUCCACUAAUUUCCAUUCAAUUUCACAAUAAUUACUUUAUACCAUUUAUCAAUUGCUCCCGAGUCAAUGUAUAUUUCACAUAUAGAUAUUUCAUAUUUUUCGAUUUAAUCCUCUUGAUGCCAAAAAUAUUAUAUAAUAACAAUUCAACUAUAAAAAAAAUAUAUAACACAAAUAUAUCAUCAAUUAAUAAAGUAAGUUUCAUAUGAACUUACUUGGAAAAUGGUAACUACAAAGUGUUAGGGAUUAAUUUAUAAUUUCACUUAUUUUUUGAUUAACUUCUAAUUUAUUGAUAAAUUCAACAACCUUAUAACAAUUUAGUAUAUGCAUAUAAAAAUUUAAUUUCAUUUUAUACAAUUUCCCUAAAGUUUUGCUUUUUAUUCAAUUUAGUCUUUAAAAUCAAAACUAUUAUAUCUUUUAAAAUCAAGCUUUGAUUUUCAAUCCCAUUACAAUUUCAUCACUGUAAUGCCCUCUAGAAACAUGAUUUUCAAAAAUUUCAUGAAAAAUUUUACAUUAUUUCAAUUUUGUCCCUUAACAAAUCAGUCCUAUUUCAUUUCUAAGCUUCAAAAUCUACCAUAAACAUUCAAAAACUUCAAUUAACAUCAAUGUAAAAUUUAGAAAUCUUUAAUAAUUUUGAAAAUGGAGAUAUGGGUUAGCUGAACCUAGUUACAAUGAUAUCAAAAAUAUAAAAAAUAUAAAAAAGGGACUUACUUACAAAGAACCAAAGCUUGGCCGAUUCUUUUCUUGCUUAAAUGGUGUUUUUCUGUAAAAAAAUGAUGAAUUGAGGAAGAUGAUGGCUAUUGUUUCUUUUGUUUAUAUUUAACUUUUAUUUAUUUAUUAAAUUACCUUGUAAUUUAACAUACAAUUUCAUUAAUAAGCUAGCCUUUACUAUCCACUAGUUAUAUGUAGGGUUAAAUUGUUUCAUUAAUCCUUAAACAUUCAUUAAUCAAGCACUUUAGCUAAUAAAAAUCAAUACCGAUUAGCUUUUAUAGUUUUUACGAUUUAACCCUUUUUCCUUAAUUAACUAUCCAAACAGUAAAAUUUUCGCACCAAAUUUCAAUUUAGCUAUAUAAAAACUCGAUAAAUAUUUAAUAAAAAUAUUUACUAGCUCGGUUUAUGAAAACGAAGCCCCGAUACCUUAUGUUCCAAAUAACUGACUUUUAAUAUAAACCACUCGUACCUUGACUAACUGACCAAUUAAUAAAAUCUAUAAAAUUAGAAUUUACAAUAACACAAUUAAUGUCUAUCUUGUAAUUAAAAUGAAAAUGUGUUUGGUCUUUUAAUUACAAGGAAUUUCAAUUUACAUAGUAUAACUACUAGGGUAGUAAUAACACCCUCUUGUAAUUACAAUGAAAAUAUGUUUGGUUGGCAUAGUAUAAUUACAUUGUAAUUUUCCAUGUUGUGUUUGGUACUACAAAUUGUAAUUAUACAAUUACGUGAUUUAUUUAUUUUUAAAUAUUAAUUAUUAUAAAAAUAAUCAAUAAACUUGAGAAAAAAAUAUAAACAAGUAAGAAAAUUAAAAUCAAAUUCAUCAUAUAUAAUAUACUAGUCCAAAAAAGUAGUCGAUAAUAUAAUAACAAAUAAAAAUAACAAGAAAAUAAAUACCAUAUGCAAUUUAUCUAAUUGUUUCAACAUUCCAUAUUUGUUGUGUUAUUUCAUCUCUAACAUUUAACAUAUACUCAUUAAUUUGUUGACCCUAAACCAUUUUUUUCCUUAAUUUGAAUAUGAAUCAUUAAAAUUACAAGGAUAUUAUUUUUCUAUGUACUCUUCAAAGCAUAGAUAAUCUUAAUCCCAUUUACGAAUGAAGUUAUGAAGCAUGCAAUAUGCUAGCAUGAUCCAACCUUAUUCCUUUAGACUGUAUUGAGGUGGUGGUGUUAAUAUGAGAAUUUCUUUUAUAAGAACAAAUGACCACACAAACAUAUUUUGAAAAUUCGAAUAUCUCAAAUGGUGUCAUACCUAAUGAUAUGGCGCAAAAGAACUUUUUGUAUUUACAUAUCCAACUUUGUGAAUUAUCGAAUAUGAUAUUUAAUUUAUUUUGGGAUCUCAUCCAAACAACAUUCAUUAGCACUCUAGAAUCCGAAAUCCAAACCAUUAUUUUAACAUUCCAUCAUAACAUCUUUUAUAAACCUAAUUUUUUAUGCUAUAGGGUUAAAUAGCAAAUAAAAUUUCUAACUUUUUUAAUAAUAAUAUUUUAUGUAAAUCAGGUAAAAAAUAAUAUAAAAUUUAUAAUAUAAUCUCUAUAAAAAAAGUUUGAUAUAGUAUUCAAUAGCUUUCGUAACACUAGGGUGGUUAAAUAUGUACCAGUAUAAGAAUAAUAAUGAAUUUAUUAUAUAACUUUUAUAAACUUAAUUUCCUAUUAUGUCAAAAUCUGUGUAAAAAUUUUGGACUUAUCUGUUCAAUAGCAAAUAUUUUUUAUCAAAUAAAAAAUAUAUAAUUAUAUUUUAAAAAUAAAAAAUAUAUCUUAAAAUUAAAUUAUGUUAUUAUAUAAAAAUAAUUAAAAAAUAAAUUCUUAAACUUAAAUAAUGUAUGUGUGUUUGGAAAGCAAUAGUUGGUAAUUGCUUGUAAUUACUUGCGCAAUUAUCCCAAUUCUUAGUCUUCCUCUAUGAUUUGGAUAGUAUAUUUAAGGUAGUUUAGUUGCAUUCAAUUUUGUGAGAUCCACUAAUUACAAUCAAAUCUAAUUUACUAGAUGAUUUUUUAAACACUACCUUCUUAAAAUUUUAUAUAUAGACAUUCUAACAUUUUUGUAAUGUUUACAUUAUAAUAUUAUAUAUUACCGGAGGUUUAUUUUUUUAUAUUAUAAAGUAUAUAAUAUAUAAAUAUCACAUAAUAUAAAAUAUUAAAAAAAUAAAAAAUGAGUUUGGCUGAGUUUGGGCCUUAAAUGUUCAAGCUCAACUCAUAUUUUAAACAGAUUUUUUUUUCUCAAGCCCAUUUUUGAAUAUAAUAUUUUUACUUAAGUCCUCCUAAAUUUUGAUUAAAUUUGAGAUAACCCGGCUUAUAAACAAGUCCAACUACAUCCAAAUAAAAAAAAUAAAAGAGAAAAUAAAUACAAAUAAAAAAAUUAGCAAGAUCAGUGUUGCUCAUAUUUUGAUUCACCAUGUUGGAACAUAUUAUACAACACUUUGAGAGUAGCAUUUGUUUUGUUUUAAUAUGCUAUACUAAUAGAUAAAUGUAGUAAAGUUUCUAGAUAUUACGGUGGGGGUGUAUUACAGUUUUCUUCCAAAAUAAAAUCUCUUAUUGAGUCUAUCUCUAGUUUCUGAAAGUAGACAAAAUGAUUGAGAAGAUAGAAGCUGUUGUAUUCAUCCAAAACACUAAAGAAAAGAUAGAGAUUGGAGGUUUGGUCUCCUGCACUAAUAUGAUUUUUAUAAAAUAGAAAAGAAAAACCAAACAACAUGGAUAGAAUUGCCAAGUUGUCUAUUAUUCACAAGGAAAAUACAGAUAUUAAAAAUGGGAAAUGGAGGUAGAAAUAUAGAUAGGACUAUCUUGGUUGUGUCCUCGGGAAUCCCAAAAUUUCCGAAAUCUUGCGAUCAAGUUGUUUUGUUUUUAUAUCGUCAGCAAUCGGCUAAGGACAGGCAAAUGAGCGUUGUAAAAGAGUUUCGGUUCCACUGAAAAAUAUAAAAAUUAAUAAUGAAUUAGACUGUUUGUGAAUGUUCUUUUGUAAUGAAAUUCAUAUAUAAACAGGUUUUGGGAGAUGGAAGAUAAGAAAAAGGGAUUGAAACAGAAAACCAGAAAUCAGUUAUGGAGGAGAAAAAGACAAAAUAACUAAUGACAUAACUGGAAAUGAAACAAGACAAUAGCAUUAUGUUACGUGCCUGUAAAUGCAGCUCCCAUGGGACACUUUCUCAAGAUAACAUGCAAACAAAAUAAUGUAUUUCUCCGGAGAGUGAAAUCUUAUUUUUACUUUUACUGGGGAGGUGAUAACUCAUGCCCAUUUUGUCAUUAUAAAUUGAGAGACUUGGAAGAGAAAGAAAGCAUUGCAUUUGCAUGAACUUGUUUUAGCAGUAUAGUAGUUGUUUAUUUUUAUAUAUACAAAAACCAAAAGUUCUAUCCAUGGCUGCAUCUUUCUCAGUGCCUUCAAUGGUAAGCUUCAUUUCCCUGCAUUCCUUUCCUUUAUCACCAAAUUAUAUUUACUUGGCCCUCUUUUUCUUUGCAUUUUAAGUGCUUCACUUUUGGCUUCCCACGUACCCAUAAAGAAACUUAACGUUGAGUAUACUACUAGCACUCACCCCCAGUCGGGUUAACAUUUUGAAAUUAGUGCUUAUAAGUUAGUGGCUCCCAAAACCCAACACAAGAUUCGUCUUUCUUACAUCAACAAACAGGCAAAUCUCGUUUAAGCAUAUCGGAAAUAUAGAGCAGAAACCAUGAAUUGCAGUGGUUAGGAUGAUCUUCAGAACCAAGAAAGCCUCCUAACAAACAAGAGUUCCAUUUUGUGUUUGUUUCCAUAGGAAUCCUUUGUUUCUUUCUAAACAUAUGAAGCAACCAUCAUGGACUAUUCUUUUGUUUUUAUUCUCUUAAAGGUCUCGUUCGGUGAGGGGAUUUAGUAACACCCUGCGUAAUUGUUCAGUUGAGUCUAAAAUAUAAUUUUAAAAUUUUCUUCAAAUAACAUCAAUUUAAUCAAUAAAAUUAUUAAAUUAAUUUUAUAUAUUUUAAAGAAGAUAUAUCGUUACAAUAAUACUUUUGUCUUUUUCUUAUUUUAUUUUAAUACUAUGCUUCAAACUACUCAUAACCUCUCCAACUCUUAAAUAGGAUGACAGUUGUGUCUCGCAGUUUAAAUUAAAUUAAUCCUCCUGUAUUAGCAAUAAGCUGAUGUUUAUUAAGUGAUACCAACUCAGUUGAGAAAAUUACAAAAAAUAACCUUACAUAUUUUGAAUAAGCUAUAUUAUUAGAUGGUGUUUUUUUUCUUUUUUCUUUUUAAUAAAACCAAUAAAAAAUUUGCAAAUAUUGAAAUUUUAGCCCAUGCCAUAUAUUUCAUUAUUUAUUAAAUGUUAUUUUUAAACGCCCACUUCUGUUUUAAACACGUAGUUUCUACAUGUAUACGUGUGUAUGUGGGGGUAGAAUCAUUAGUAUUAUUCAAAGAGUUGAUUGAGUUAGUGUUAUCCAUCAACUACAUCUCAAUUCGAUUAUAGAAUUACCAAAAACCCAUUCCUUUUAUUAAAAAAUCAAAAAUUACUAUGAGACUAUUUUUGUCAUCUUAUAUUUUAUGUCAAAUAUAAAAAAAUUCAUAUCAUGAUAUUUGAUCAUAAAACACCAUGACAUUUAAUAUUUUAACUUUAUCAUUCUCAUGAUAAAUUUUCUUUUUUACCAUUUCAAGUAAAGUCUAUUAUUCUUAUUAGGUUAACUUUCACUAUUUAUAAUUGUUCCUUCCAGUAAUAUCAUUUUUAAGAUUUAAAUUUGGAUUCCCACUUUGAAAGUGUAAUGCUAUGCACCCAAAUUCUUUUAUUAUAAUAAUUAAAAAAAAAUUCACUUAUAUAUAUUAGUUAUAGUAUUAUAUUUAUAUAAAAUUUCUAUGAUACAAAUUUAAAAAAAAUAAAAGAAAGUAAAAAAUAUAACCCAAGCCCCACUUCUUUUUUUUUCUGUCUAAUGUAAGUAUUCAAACACCCUCAAAUAUCAGCAGGCAGAGCUUCGAACAUAGACUAGUAACUUGUUUGUUUAGGUCUAUUUCAUGACGUUAUUUUCGAGUAAAUUGCUUCAAAUCGUAUCCUGCCGCAUUCUUAGAGGUGUAAGAUCAUAACAAUGUUUUUAAUGAGCGAAAAUGCCACUGGCAGAUAAUGGAGGAAGAAGGGAGGUACGAAGCUGAAGUAACAGAGGUGCAAGCAUGGUGGAACUCAGAGAGGUUCAAGCUAACCCGACGACCGUAUUCAGCUCGAGAUGUCGUGGCUUUACGGGGCAACCUCAAACAGAGCUAUGGCUCAAAUGAGAUGGCAAAGAAGCUAUGGAGAACCCUCAAGGCACAUCAAGCAAAUGGCACUGCUUCAAGGACUUUUGGUGCACUUGAUCCAGUCCAAGUAACCAUGAUGGCCAAGCAUUUAGAUUCAAUUUAUGUCUCUGGUUGGCAAUGUUCCUCAACUCACACCACCACCAACGAGCCAGGUCCGGACCUUGCCGACUAUCCUUACGACACCGUCCCCAACAAAGUUGAACACCUUUUCUUUGCACAACAAUACCAUGACCGAAAACAAAGAGAGGCAAGAAUGAGCAUGAGCCGCGAGGAGAGGGCUCGAUCUCCUUAUGUUGAUUAUCUGAAGCCAAUUAUAGCAGAUGGUGAUACUGGCUUUGGUGGCACCACUGCAACUGUUAAGCUUUGCAAGCUUUUCGUUGAACGUGGUGCUGCAGGCGUCCACAUCGAGGAUCAGUCAUCGGUAACCAAAAAAUGUGGUCACAUGGCUGGUAAAGUACUUGUUGCUGUUAGUGAACACAUUAAUAGGCUUGUCGCUGCGAGGCUGCAAUUUGAUGUUAUGGGAGUGGAGACAGUGUUGGUGGCUAGAACUGAUGCUGUUGCAGCUAAUAUGAUCCAAACCAAUGUUGACACCAGAGAUCAUCAGUUUAUUCUUGGAGUGACUAAUCCGAAUCUUCAGGGAAAAGGUCUGGCAUCCAUGUUAGCUGAAGCAAUGGCUGCUGGUAAAACUGGGGCUGAACUCCAGGCCAUUGAAGACAAAUGGUUAGCCAUGGCACAACUUAAGACAUUCUCCAAAUGUGUUAUCGAUGCUAUCAACAACAUGAACAUCAGGGAGGAUGAGAAAAGGAGGAGAAUGAAUGAAUGGAUGAAUCAUUCUAGUUAUGAUAAGUGUCUCUCAAAUGAACAAGCCAGAGAAAUUGCUGAGAGAUUGGGGCUCAAAAAUCUUUUCUGGGACUGGGAUUUACCUAGAACCAGAGAAGGUUUCUAUAGGUUUAAGGGUUCAGUAAUGGCUGCAAUCGUUCGUGGCCGGGCUUUUGCUCCACAUGUUGAUCUUAUUUGGAUGGAGACAUCCAGCCCUGAUCUGGUUGAGUGCACCGAAUUUGCUCAAGGGGUGAAAUCAGUGCACCCUGAAGUCAUGUUGGCUUACAAUCUUUCACCAUCUUUCAAUUGGGAUGCAUCGGGAAUGAGUGAUGAACAGAUGAGAGACUUCAUCCCAAGGAUAGCCAAGCUUGGUUUCUGUUGGCAGUUCAUAACACUAGCUGGUUUCCAUGCUGAUGCACUCGUGACCGACACAUUCGCCAGAGAUUUCGCGAGGAGGGGAAUGCUAGCUUAUGUUGAGAAGAUCCAGAGGGAAGAGAGGAACAAUGGGGUGGACACAUUAGCCCAUCAAAAAUGGUCAGGUGCCAACUUUUAUGAUAGAUAUCUCAAGACAGUCCAGGGAGGCAUAUCAUCGACUGCAGCCAUGGGCAAAGGCAAGUCAUAAAGAAAUUAACUCUCCAUUCCUUUUUCCAGGUGAUUACACUUCAAAUUCAGAAAAAUAAAGAAAAAAGAGUAUUGAUACAUGACUUUUGUGCAGGAGUGACAGAGGAGCAAUUCAAGGAAACAUGGACAAGGCCAGGAGCCAUGGAGGUUGCAAAUGAAGGCAAUAUGGUGGUUGCUAAGGCAAGGAUGUAGGAUGAAGCUAAGCUGAUUGGAAAUUGGAUCAUUCUAUUGGAGCAUCACCCAAUUCUAGUGUUUCUUUUUUUUUUUCCUUCUUUUUUAGAUCUCUUUUGCUUAUGUUAAAAGAUGAAACUGGUUUCUGUAAUAGUUUUAAAAUGGCAAUGAGAAAAUGCUUUGGUUUUUUUAAUCUCAUUGAUAAGAUUGGAUUGGAUUGGAUUAUUGUUGUUCUGAAGAUUAUAUAACUCCACUCCUCAGCCACCCACCCGUGGCUUGUUGCAUUUGGAACCAUCUCUAUAUAAAAAAUUAGAAUUCGGGUGCCUUUAAAUUUAAAAUAACCUUUGAGGGUGAUACGUUUUGGACACUUUAUUCUCCAAACGUUACUCCACAAUUUCCUUGGAUUGCAAGUUUCGGUUAGACGGUUCUCUGUUUUCUUGCUUCUGCUGUUUACCUUUUUGCCUUUGCUAUUAAAGCGUCGGAUUAAAACUAUUUAUAUGGCUGAUAUAGUGAUAUGUUUGUUUUCUGCCUUGGAAUGAUGUGGUGGAGUGUAGUUUCUUGGUUUUUUUGAGAUGAAAAAGAGGGAAAGCUCCUCCAUUAUGUGAAUGAUUCAUAAAUCUAUUGCUUGGGGUUUUUAAGUUGCUUCGCUUGCUAGGGUACUUAACUACUAUGGCAUCGCUUUUAAGUGAAUAUUAAAUUCUAGGUUAGACAUAUCCUCUAGGAAUGGCAGGACUCAAAUCCACAAUUAAAAUCAUCUUAGGAUGUUUAUGGAAGAAAGAUAAACCUUUAAUUAGGUGGUUGGGGGAGAAAAAUAUAGGAGGUUACCUUCAAAUGCAUCCAUCAUUCCUUAAGUCCCUUAGGUUUGAACAUAUAGAAUUUGAUCCAUCUUCUCAUUGACUGAGGGUAUGAAGUAUAUCAGAUUGGUUUUUCCAUCAAAAGCACUAUGGAAUUAGUCUAUGGAGGAAGAAAAAUGUUGGCUGAGAAUUAGUAUGUGGAGGUGUUUAUUCCAGCUGCAACUGCAGAUAUCCCUUACUGAAACGGGAUAUUUUAGCAACGGGAUUGCAUGGAGUUGGUUUUUCGAUUAACAGCAUUGCCUAUGGUAACUUGGGACUCUAUAAACCAGUAUAUCUAGGCAAUGGGAUUAUUUUGACUAGACUAUUGUUCAAGCUGUUUGUAUCUCAGUCCAAACAGUUGCAUUAUAGAAUGCAAAGAGUGUAUGCACUACUACAAUGCAGUACUCAUAUGCAUUGACUUCAUUUAAUUCCUUUUUUUUAAGUUGUAAGUACUAGUAAGGUAACAAAGUCAGCCUUGUAGAUCAUAGGGUUAAAUGAAAUCAGUGGAUGCACUUGUUAAAGAUUCUAUAUACUCCUUUGUUCAGACACCACAUUCCUCUUUGAUUGCUGCCCUAUUCCUUCAAGCCUUAAUCUGCAGGUUGCAACACAUCAACUUGCUCGCUCAACUCCUACCUUGUAUCCUUUUAGAUAACAUUAGAUAGCUAUGCACAUGAGGUGUCUUCUUUUGCCUUUGAGCAGGCAUGCAUCAAAUCUAUCAUAGAUACGUAGUUCCUAAAGCAAGCAUUCUAAUAGCAAGGUAUUGAGUGAUUCGAACUAUAUUGCAACUAAUAUGAUCUCUAGCAAACUAAGAUUUUGUUAAUGUUACCUGAAACCAAUAGUUAAAGGGUUCUUUCAUUUUUCUUUUCAUAAGAGUGUUUGGAACAGAAAAAGAAAAAAAAAAAAAGACCUCUAGUACAUCUGCUUUAACUAGUAUAGCUACGCGGGUAGCUUUAACAAGGACUGAGGGAGGAGAUUGUUAGCUACCAUAGAUAACAGUAAUGUCAAAAGUGGAGGUAAAUCAUUUCGCGUAACAUUAUAGUAUUUCUAAGUGGUUUUUGAAAUUCAUCACGUACGCCAAAAUAAAAUAAAAAGGAAGGAAAUGGAUGGAGUUAUAGGAGUCUAGUUUCCCCUGUUCAUUUCUUCCAUGGCUUCAAAAUAGAAAGCACAAUGAUGAGUGCAAUAAUGAGGAGUAAGAUAAUGGAGAUCAUCAUGCAUUUUCUUGACUUUUUCUGCAAGCGCUUUGCAGUUUGAAGAGCUUCUGUUCCUGAUUGUAAAUGGUCUACUGCAUUAUUAACCUAUCAGCAUACAAAACACACAAUUUUAUAUAAAUAUAGGAGCAAAAUUAUUAGGGGAUGACUUAUUGAUAUGUCAAAUUUUAUAUAAAUGUAGGAACAACUCUUGGAAGAUGUGAGAACAGGAGCAAACCUGACUUUCAAUGUUGUCUAAAAUUUCUCCUUGAGCUCCAACAACAACUGCCAUAUCGAGGUAAAUCUGACAAAAUUAACAGUCCAAUUAGAAUAGGUAACUUAGCUUGGCCGGUCUAUCGUACAUACUAAGGGUUCUGUGUAGACUUCAGAUUUUCACCUGCUGUAAAUCGAGAAGCUUUUUCUCAAUCUCAGUCACCGCAUCAUGCCGUUCUUGGAUUUCCUCCACCGUAUUUAGUAUCUGAAACCGAACCACAUAACAAAGUUGUUCUCAACCAAAAACUGGUAAAACAUGUUCCAUUCCGAACAGAUUUCAAUGCAAUUAUAGUUCCAUUGCGCGAUGAAUUCAAAAGAUGAUAAUGGCAUAACCUGUCCUCGUCCCUGUUCUUGAAUUGCCUUCUGGAAAAUUUGCUCACUGUUUCCGGUUUCAAUGAGGCGGUCAAUUGUCUAAGAUAAGAUCACAAUUUUUUGACACUUUAAAACAACAUUCAUAUAGAUUAGACCCAAAGUUCCAACAUUGAACUUAAGCUCACCUUCUCGUCCGGUCUGGUUCCGGUAACUAUUCAAACAGCAAUGAAGAAAAGCAUUUUAAGUAUGAACAAUAAUAAUAAUAAGAAUAAUCAGAUUGCUUCAUAGUUCUUGCAAGCAGCAAGCGCGGUAUUCUAACCUGUAGUGACCCUUCUUUCCACAACCUCUCGAUACUCGUCCUGGAUCUUUUGCCUGAGUGUCUGAAACAGAAUAGGGAGAUGAGAAAAACAGAUAGUAUCUUAAAAGAUGCUAACAAAGAGGUGCAGAAAUACCUGGAACUCUAUCAUCAAAUCCUUGAAAUUUGUUGCCAUGGCACUGCAAUCGGAGACAAAAUCAUAAUGACAAAAAAGUAACGGAUCAACUCAUUUUGGUUCAAAAUAAAUGGAAAGACCCAAACUAAGUGUUUGCAACAAACUUUGUAACAUUGGUCCUGGAUCUGUCAACGCUUGUUCCCUUCUCGCAUCCUGGUUCCUGCCGAUUGGCCAAGUUCUGGAUAUAAAAGCGAGCAAAAUCAGCAAAUAGGCUUCAGUUAUAUAACUAUAAAGCCUGGAAAUUAAGAUAUUUGAAGAGAAAUUUUACAUCUUUGUUGAUUGCUUGUAAUCUUGCUUUCACAUUACGUGCUAUUUUUCCAACCUCGUCAAUAUCUUUCUCCAUUCGCUUCUUGAUAGCUUCAAUAAAUCACAUCACAUCUCAACAAUAUGAAACUUUAUUAAACAUGACAAGCUUUUCCCAUAUUACAACUUCAUAUCUAUUUUUUCUCAAGUAACUCAGACACUAAUAGAGUACACUAACAAAGCUUUCUACCUUUCAUAGCUGAUGCCUUUGUUACCGAUUUUGACUCCUCAUUAGUAUCCUGUAAAAAGUUCACAUUAGUAGAGUUGAGUUGAUUCGGUUCAGUCAGUUUUCGUUUUGUUUGAAUUGUUCAAAUCGGUGAAAUCAUCUCAUACAUACAUACCUUGAGUUUCCUGAGUAACCCAGAGAGCUUUUCCACCUGUUUCUCAACUUCUUGUACCUAUAUUACGAAGAAUAGGGGCAUGAAGUAAUCAGAUGAACUUCACUUAAGAACAAAAUAAAAUGCUAAAAAAAAUGAUAACAACGAGCAGUACAAUCAGUGAGAAGAAGUUUCAGAAGUCUUCCUAUAUUGGCAGAUUUUCACUUUUCAACUCAUUGGGAAAAAAGUUUCGGAAAUUUGACAAUAUUAGCAAAUAGUCAAUUAAGCAUCAAAGUCAAAUAACAUAGAGCUAAUUUGGUUCGCUAUUUUGAGCAUAUGGCAGACCUGCUUAUUGAAAGCUUCCAUUCCCAUGUCGGAGUUGCUUCCAGGUCCGGGAACCUGUCUUCCCAUUUCGAUAUCGCCGUGGCCUUUGGCAUCGCCCACAAAUGAAUCCUAGUUCAGGACAUAAUGAGAUCGUUCAGUUCUAAAACAAAGUGUAAUGGAGCUAUCGCAACUAAAUUGUCAAAAUGAAAAAGAAACUGAUAGAACAAAGCAAACUAAACUAGGAUAUGACCCUCAAAUCAAUUCAGUACAUGUCAAUAUCGGAACUUGCUUCAUAUGCUGAAAAUUAAGACAUUCUAAACCUAUGUAUGAUACAAACAUUGGUUCCAAUGAAUCAACCGAACAAACAAACAAAAGAAGAAAAAAAACAAUUCCUAGUGAAUUCUCAGUAACCAAACAAAGAGAGGAAAAUCAUUAAUAAGAAAAUAAAGCAACAUAAUUAAAAAAGAAAAAAAAAAGUGAAACUUUCAUAGACAAAGCCAGGAUGAUACUCCUCGCCACAAGUAAACACUAACUGGGAUCCAAAAUAAGCCCAGAAACAUGCAUCCAAUUUUCAGCAUUAAAUUGCAGAAAGAAAAAGAAACACUUGAUUGAUCAAAGCAAAAGAAGGAUUUGAUGAUCUUAAACUUAGAAAACAACGGAUGAAAAAAGAGCAAAGUGAUUGAAAGUUACCGUAAGCAAGUCGUUCAUGCUGACAAAUAACAAAGAGACGAUGCUUUUAAUGAAGGUUGAGAGGAAAAAGAAAAAGGCAAAAAAGCAAAACAAUUUUUUUGUUAUGAAAGAGAUGCUUUUAUUUAUUUGUAUUUCAGCCGGCUGUUAUAGCUCAGUCGGGAAAUUAAUUUAAGAAUUUCAACGUUAAACACGACAAAUUCCAUAGCGCUUAUGAUUUUCUUUGUAUGACCAAGCAACAAUGUUUGGUUUGGUUCGACCAUCUUUGUUUACCUGUUUAUUGAGCUUUCCGCUUGGCCCGUUUAGGAAUUAAAUUAUAACUUUAAAACAUAUAUUACUCGACUUUGCCAUUGUAGCUUCUGUAUUUAGCUGCCAAGCUUGAAGUCACACCUAUAUUCAGCUAUUUGUUGGAGGAUAUUCCAUUAAACUAUUCAUUUUCACGAUGGUUUAAGCAAACCUAUUAGUUGUUUCUAUUUUGUUCUCUCAAGUUAUAGUAAUUAAUAUUAUGAAAAUUUAAUAUUUUGUUCACCCAUCUAUUAAAUAUUAACAUAAUAUUGACUUGUAUUUUUUGGUAUAACAACAAAUUUAGCUCUCGAAUGUUUAUAGAUUUUAUCAAUUUAGUCCUAAUUCUUAAAAAUUUAAAAUUUAAAACUAAAUGAUAAGUGCUAAAAGUAACAUGUUUUAAUCACGUUCUUAAUACGUUUUUGGAUGAUUAUUCGAUUUAAAAAGAUGAAACUUAUGCUUCUAAUCUUUAAAUUCAUGUUUUUAUACUUAAGAGAGCAUUUGGAAGCAAAAUGAGUGAAAAACGAGCAAAAAUCGAAAAAUCAGAGCAAGUUUCAGGAGUCACACGGAUUGAACACACGACCAUGUGUCACACUGUGAUGAUUUCGCAAAUCAUGCUCCAAGUAGCUGAAAAACGUGAUUUUUAGGUUUUUUUUUCUAGCAUUCUAAGGCUCAUAUAUGAAAAAGAUAAGAAGAGAGGAGUAAGUCAUCAUAGAAUACUAAUACACCAUAGUAUAUACAUAUUUUUACCCCAUGCUUGACAUAUUUAUGGAUGAUUUUUCCUUGGUUUCAUUGAAUUCGAUGCUCCUAAUCCUUUAAAUUCAUGUUUCAUACUUGGGUGAGCAUAGGAAGGCAAAAAGAGCAAGAAAUGGGCCAAAAACGGACAAAUUGGGCCUAAUUCAGUGUUUCACAUGGCCUACGUAUUUUCAGAAGGGUAAACCACACGCCCGUGUGUCAUGGCCGUGUCCACAUUAAACCAAGUCAGAAUUGCACACGGCCUGAACACCUUUACACGGGCGUGUCACACGGCCGUGUCCCUGUCAAGCCCACGUCUAAUUCUACUUAGAAAAGGCUAAUUUUGAAAGUUUUGAAGCAUUCCAAAGUCUAUAUAAACACCCUAAAAGAGGAUUAAAAAGGACACGCAGAGUAGAAGGCAGAAAAUACUCAAGGAUAGCCAUCAGAAUUAGCUUGGAAGCAGGAUCUACUUCAAGACUGAAGAUCUUCAUUCAAUUUCCUUAGAAGUUCUUUGAGUUCUUUAUGUUUUUGUUGUUUUCCCAAUUUUGAGAUGUUUUCCUCUAUUGUUAUGAACUAAACUCCCUAAAUACCUAAGGGAGAUGAAACCUAAGACGAAUAUUACUAUUUGAAUUAUAUGAUAAAUACUUGUUCUUAUUCUUAAUUGUGAGUUCUAAUUCUUGCUUUAAUAUUCCAGGAUAUUAAUUCAGGUUUUUGAUGUGCUUAUUCAGUGGAGCAAAAGUCCCUAUUUAAGAGUAGAUCAUUCAUAAUUAAGAGGAGUUGCAUGCAAUCCUAGAGAUAGGACGACAUAAAUCUGUCGGAUUAGAGUCAAAUCUAAUAAGGGAAUCUAUAGAUCGAGUUAAUGCGACAAUAGGGGUUUUAAUUAGAAAGAGAUUUCAAUUAAUCAACCUAGAGUCAGUUGUUUUUAGUCUCGAAAGAGAUAAUAACAUAAACUAGGGAUUUCUACAGAUUAAGUCAAGUGAAUAAAUCAUCUGAUUCAAAAGUGAUAACUGAAGUCUAGGUGGAUUCUUCCUUGGAUAUUGUCUUCUCCAUCGGUUUUCCAAAGAAUAUUUUCCAACUUUAAUCUCUGUCGUAAUCUUAGUUAAUUAGAUAAUUAGUUUUAGUUAAAAAACAUCCUUUAAUUCUUAGGCUAGAUAAUAAAAAGAUAAUAAUUACUAGUACUUUUAGUCCUUGUGGAUAUGAUAUUUCUGGUCUCACCAUAACUAUACUACUAUUCGAUAGGUGCGCUUGCCUUAGUCAAAUUUUUAGUUAGUUUUACGACCAUCAAGUUUUCGGCGCUGUUGCCGGGGACUAAGAUAUUAGGAACACUUAACUUUUAUUACUUUAGCCAUUUUUAUUUUUAUUGCAAUUUAAUUUUGUUUUGUUUUGAUUUUAAUUACUAAAUUUUCUUUUACCUUCUCCUGGCAGGUUUUUGAUAGUUUAUGACUAGAAGAAACCUAUCAGGACCUUUGCUUUUUGACAAUGAGAUCGAGAGUACAACUCGCAGAAACCGAAGAGAAAUAAGGCGAAGUCUACAAUACAUAGAGGAAGAGUGAGAGGAAGAUAUCCAUACUACAACUGAGGAGAUGGCUAAUAAUCAGAGUAAUCUUCUACCUCCUGUGGUUGAUACAAAUCUAGUAAAUCAAAAUCCUGCUCCUCGUACUAUGUAUGAUUAUGCUAAACCUACUUUAACAGGAACUGAAUCGAGUAUAGUUAGACCUGCUGUUGCAGCAAAUAAAUUUGAACUGAAACUUAACACUAUUCAAAUGAUACAACAGUUUGUUCAGUUUGAUGGUUUGCAGGACAAGGAUCCAAACACUCAUUUAGCAAAUUUUUUGGAAUUCUGCGACACAUUUAAAAUUAAUGGUGUUUCUGACAAUGUCAUUCACCUUCAGUUAUUCCUCUUUUCAUUUGUUCCCAAGUGGUGAUUGACCCUCACGGUAACGAGUUCAACCGCUGUUUAGAAACGGCUAAAUUGAGGAAUGAUAUCUAUUCUUUUGUGCAUAUGGAUUUAGAAACUCUUUAUGAUGCAUGAGAGAGAUACAAGGAUUUAUUGAGAAGGUGCCCUCACCAUGGGUUACCUCUAUGGCUCCAGGUUCAGACUUUUUACAAUGAUGUGAACCCCUCAACAAGGCAAAUGAUCAAUGUAGCCGCUGAUGGAACUUUAAACAAAAAAAACACCUAAAGAGGCUUACGAAUUUAUUGAAGAGAUGUCACUGAAUAACUAUUAGUGGCAAGUCAUUAGAAUAAAACCGACAAAAGUAGCUGGUGUUUUCAGCCUCGAUGCGGUCACUAUGCUAGCUAACUAGGUAAAACUUUUAAAUAAAAAAA
This 37398-nucleotide long non-coding RNA is filed under the name Gossypium barbadense (sea-island cotton). RNAcentral describes it as "long non-coding RNA (GBAR_LNC002398)". Lineage: Eukaryota; Viridiplantae; Streptophyta; Magnoliopsida; Malvales; Malvaceae. The record is from RNAcentral.